ACUCAAAUGAAUUUAUCACAUCUGUAGUUGUAUAACGAUCAUAACAAUCCAAUUUCACAGGAAUUAAACUAAAAUUAAAAUGUGUUAUUGGUAGCUAUUUUCAGGGAAAGAGAAGGAAAAGAAAACUCAAUUGCCAUCUUUUGAAAUAAUUAUUGCCCCAACUCUUUACCCAGAAUAUUUAUAAUUAAAGGAGGAUAUUUAUCUUUUCAAGAGGAACUCUAGUUCAUCCCCACAUCUUUCUUACAAAAAAAAACAGUGAAAUAAAAAAAAUUAGAAAAUUACUGUUUACGCCAGUAAGAUGAGCAAAAAUCAUUACAUUCAUGAAAGUGCACUAAGUAUAUCCAGAGUUUACAGAAUAGGAAUAACUGCCAAUUGCAAAAGGAAAAAUAUUUGACAAAAUUGAGUUCUGCUGCUUUUAGCAAAGGGAUUAAAUUUAGAAUAAGACAAUGCAGCAACCUGACACAUGUGCCUUGAUGCAAUAUGAGAUAUAAAAGAGUACCUGCUGACUAUUCUUGCUCAAAGAAAUGUUUAACCUCCAUCAAAUCAAGCCUAGAGGUUUAACUUCUAGUUUACAGAAAAUUUAGGGUUUCCAGGACCAACUUAAAUGACACCACUAGGAAAUAAUUAGACAAAUUCAGAAUGUGGGCAUUCUAUUAAAAAAAAAAAAAGGUGGCGGAGUUCAAGUCGUGGCUCAGUGUUCAACAAAUCCAACUAGGAACCAUGAGGUUGCAGGUUCCAUCCCUGGCCUCGAUCAGUGGGUUAAGGAUCCAGCAUUGAGGUGAGCUGUGAUGUAGCUCGCAGAAGCUGCUCGGAUCUGGCAUUGCUAUGGCUGUGGUGUAGGCCAGUGGCUACAGCUCCUAUUCCACCCCUAGCCUGGGAACCUCCAUAUACCAUGGGUGUGGGCCUAAAAAGACAAAAGGAUGAAAAAAAAAGGGGGCUUAUGCUUUUUCCAUCUAGCUUAAGAGGAUUCUGUAUCCCACGAUUAUACAAUAAUUCCCCUAAGUCUUCUCCUAAGAUUCUUAUGCCUCAUGCUUUAUAUUAAAGUCUUUAAUACACCUCAUUGGGCAAAAUAACUUGAGUUAUACCUGAUAUCAGAUUGCAAAAAUCUUCUUAAAUAUUUGUCUGUGUGUUGUCUGUAGGAUUUUUAUUUUAAUUCUUAGCAGUUCUUCAGUCUUUGUUAUCCCACUAUUGCUUAUUAUUCUCUGGUUUUGAUUGGUUUUCUUAAAAAAUUGGUUUUGAUUAUAUAUCACUUUAAUAACUCAGUAAUCUGGCUUAUUUUAUAUUUAUGCUACAUUGAUGUUAUACUGAGUAUUAAUGGUUUUUAUUCCUGUUUGUAAAUGAACCUUUAUGAGUAACUUUGCUUUGUCCUUAGUCUUCACUUACAUUUAUGCAUCUAAAAACCUUGCUUAACCAGAUCAAGCCUUUACUUUAGGCAGCUGAGAAAAUGUCAGAGGCAGAAGAGCAACCCAAAUGAUAUAAUCAGGCAGGGCUGAAAACAUUUGAACCUGAAUGAAUUGCGUUUUCCUGCUUAACUAUCCAGAGUUCACAGAAGCAAUAAGUGGGCAACAUUUUUUGCAAAUCAUGUUAACUAAGAAAUUUCAAAUUUUAGUCUAGCUAGUCAAAUCAGAUAACUCAGUUUAUAAUGAAACAAACUCUGGCAAUGCCUUUUUAUUAAUAUCAAACAUAAUGUAAAAAUUUGCCUUAAAAUUAGAAAUUAAAUUUGACCAUUUUCUUCCCACUUUUAUCCCAUUUCUAAAAAAUAGAUCUUAUCAACUUAAGAUCAACUGAGUUCACAUUUGCUCAUGUAGAAAAGCUCCAAGGCAUAUCCUACAAAAUCAGAUUUCUCAUAGAGAUCUAUAUGUCUUAUGGUGACUUUUCCCCAAGAAUGUGUUUCGAGACCAUAGCAAUAAAAAAGAUGGGGCCAACUGAAUUAAAUGAUGUGUGAUCCAUGGAGCCAAGGCAUAUAUGACACUCUUUAGUACUCUCCCCACUGUAUCAGUUAGUUAUUGUCACAAUAAUGUUGCCUAACAACCACAAAACUUCCAGUGGCAUAAAACAAUAAAUGUUUACUAAACUUAAAAAAAAAAUUCUUUAACAGGACUCUUGAUGAAGGAAGGUCAAGGACUUAUAUCUGAAAAGUGGAGGACUAAAACACUUAAAACGCAAUCAGAACUCAAGGAUGAGUAUAUUCCCAACCAAACAGACUUUGGCAGGUUUCUUGCAAAGACUGGGCUGGACAGACUAAAGAUGGGAAGGGGGCCUUACUAACGUUUGGUCAAGCAUUACCAGUUGGGAAGUAGGGAAGGGGCAGCAUAGGGGUGGGAGAGAUGGAGGCAAAAACUAUUGGGUAUAAGAUAGAAUAGGCUCAAGUAUCUAUUGUACAACAUAGGGAAGAUAGCCAAUAUUUUGUAAUAGCUAUAAAUGGAAAGUAACCUUUAAAAAUUGUAUAACAUUUUUAAAACAUUUUUAAAAAGAAGAGAUUUUGGCAUAGUUGUUGAAUAUAAGUUCUUUCUAUAAAAAUAAAAGAAAUUAUGCCAAAAUAACCAUCCACAAAACAUAAUUUUAAAAGUUAUAUUGGAUUAACUAAUAAAAAAGACAUCUAUGCAGAAAUUUUUAAAACUCCGAUAAAUAAGCUAAAAUAUAAAAAAAUACUUUACAUUUUAGAUUUCCAAAACUUAACCCUUGAUUUUCUCCCCCAAACCAUCAUUUCUGCCUUCUGUGUUUGUGUUUCUCAUCUCAACAAAUUACAUUAAAUUGUGGAGUUAUGCUUGAUGCCUCAUUUUAUUUUCCCAUUCAUUGUAUCGGCCACUCUAACUUUAUCUUCAAAACAGAUCCAAAAUUUCACCAUCCUCAGCAACAUGGUCUAUGUUCAUAACACCUUCAAAUCUCUGACACUAUCCUCCUACCAAAUCUCCCUGUUUUCACCCUUGUCUUCUUACAUUGUGUCCUUCGUUGAGAAAUAAGAGCAACCCUUUUCGAGGGCAAGUCAUAUAACAUUAUGCCUUUGCUCAGUGCCCUCCAAUGACUUUCCAGUUUAGAUGGAUCUUUGGAAUGAAAUCCAAGUUCAUAACCUUCCAAGGACUUUUCCUGUCCUGUCAUUGGAAUUCUUCUCUAUCCUCAACUACUCUUGCAUCUUUUCUCCCUUCCUUAUCUGGCCUCCGGCCAUGAUGACUAAUGAGCUUUGAACACUCAAGUGCACUCCUACAUCUCUGUCUUUGUGUUCCAUAUUCCUCUUCCAAAUAUUGUCCCUUAAUUAUUUUUUUCCCACUGUACAGCAUGGGGACCAAGUCACACAUACAUGUAUACAUAAGUUUUCCUCCCACUGUUGUGUUGUGAUGUAAGUAUCUAGACAUAGUUCUCAAUGCUACACAGCAGGCUCUCAUUGUAAAUCCACUCUAAGAGCAACAGUUUGCAUCCGUUAACCCCAUGCUCCCAAUCCCUCCCACUCCCUCCCCACCCAGGCAGCCACAAGUCUAUUCUCCAAGUCCAUGA
RNAcentral lists this long non-coding RNA (3492 nucleotides) under Sus scrofa (pig). Its description in RNAcentral is "lncRNA (ENSSSCG00035065162.1)". The record is from RNAcentral. Lineage: Eukaryota; Metazoa; Chordata; Mammalia; Artiodactyla; Suidae.